CGUCUCAGUUCAGAUUGCAGGCUGCAACUCGCCUGCAUGAAGUCGGAAUUGCUAGUAAUCGCGGAUCAGCAAGCCGCGGUGAAUACGUUCCCGGGCCUUGUACACACCGCCCGUCACACCAUGAGAGUCGGGAACACCCGAAGUCCGUAGUCUAACCGCAAGGGGGGCGCGGCCGAAGGUGGGUCCGGUAAUUGGGGUGAAGUCGUAACAAGGUAUC
This 217-nucleotide ribosomal RNA is filed under the name uncultured bacterium. Its description in RNAcentral is "partial 16S ribosomal RNA". It matches the Rfam family "Bacterial small subunit ribosomal RNA", at positions 1284 to 1500 of the family's 1533-position model. The record is from RNAcentral.